GCAUCCGGUAAGACGGAAGUAGCAGCAUAUUCGAUUCUGUGUGGAAGUCUGUUACAAUGUGAUCUGCCCGGUACAUGUAACGUUCAUAACUACUAUACGUUUUAAGGAAUAUAUUGCUGUCACAUGUACACUGGGAGAGUAGUUAGUAGCGGCAUCACCAGUGCCAUUUAAUGCGAGGGAGUGCUUAGACACAAGGGCGUUUCAAGUACAUAAGGAAUGAAGCCAAAGUUCGCGUUCACAUUAAGCGACUGAAGUGCCAUAAUAUUUUGAACUGAAAGACAUACCUGCCAGCCUCGAAGAUGCUUGGACUUUGACUACUGGAGAGAGAGAGCGAAAGAUACAAGAUGGCGUCGACCUUCGCUGUAGGACUUGCAGUGGGGGGAGCAGUUGCAGUAGUUGCCAUCAUUGUCACCGUUAUUAUAGUUCUGCUGUGCCGCAGAUUUUGUUUACGAGAGAAGAGCAAUUCUACAGCAUAUGAAGCUAUAGGAGAUUUCAAACCCACAUCUCAGGCCCUUGUCACACCCUCACCAAGUCAGGAAUCUAUGGGCUUGCCUCACCAAAGAAACGUCCAGCCACGCGCAAAGUCAACAUUUGGAACUGGCCCGAGUAUGUCUAGAGAAGCGUUGCUCAGUGUCAGCGACAGCGGGAGCAUCAAGUCGGUGCAAAGUGGGCGGAGUGAGUCGUCUGUUACAAGUGGAGAUAUUAGCAGUACCAGCGUAGACGCUGGAUUAGGUAUGAUUUUCUAUUU
This 748-nucleotide unclassified non-coding RNA is filed under the name Lingula anatina. RNAcentral describes it as "uncharacterized LOC106153637, transcript variant X4". Lineage: Eukaryota; Metazoa; Brachiopoda; Lingulata; Lingulida; Lingulidae. The record is from RNAcentral.